This 999-nucleotide long non-coding RNA is filed under the name Ficedula albicollis (Collared flycatcher). RNAcentral describes it as "lncRNA (ENSFALG00000025635.1)". Lineage: Eukaryota; Metazoa; Chordata; Aves; Passeriformes; Muscicapidae. The record is from RNAcentral.
GAAAAUAUUGCUGUGGCUUUAAUCACUGCAAGCUUAGCUCUGCAAGCAGAGAGCUUGCAUGGCUUUUUCCAGGGAUUUAUUAAAGCAGAUCUGUGUGUUUCUGUGUGAGUUGUAUUGCAAACAUGAGUGGCAUUCUUUUCCCCAGUAUCUCCUUUUCACUACCUGACCAUGAUUUAAUCUCUGAUAUAUCAAUUCUCAAAAAACCCACAAGGAACUCACCUCUCCCCAUGGUACUUCUGCACACACCUUGUUGCUAAGAACUGUGUCACAAUGUAUGAGUCAGCUACCUUGGGAGUCUUGCAUACACUUAUGUGACAGAGUCUGGAGGAGCUGAGUGACUGGACAUUGCACGAACUUCUCCCCCACGAACUGAUUGCAACACAAGGCCAUUUAUAGCAGGCUCCUGCUGUACUUCUGGGCUGCCUGCAUUCCCUAGGGAAUGCUAGCAUGUACACCACUUCUUGACUGGUUUCCAGGAGGCUUAUGAGGACACACAUAGCCAAGCCCUGUUAAGCUGAACCCAAGGAAAAGCAGUGUCACCAGUAAGCAGUUUGAUUACAUUGAUUAUGUCCAGGAAGAAUCUUGAGAAUCUUUUAAGAAUUCUUCAAAAGCAAUUUGCCAACCUCGGAGCCACCUUGUUAGAUGACCUAGGAGAAGAUGUGCUGGCAAGGGUCCCUGGUCCAUCAGCAGGAGGCUGGAGCAACUGGGCUCUACUUGCAAGUUGUGUCCUGCAGCACUACAUGUGUGCCAUAUUCCAGAAAAAGAAUGCUCUGCCAGUCCUCUCACGACUGCUGAAUAGUUUGCAAAGAACGCUGCAGAUGACCAGUCUUGUGUGCUGCAAAGUGUUAUAUUCCUCUGCCCCUGGAAGCUGCCUGGUGUGAACACCACCAUUACCUAUUUGUACAGAGAGCCAAAGUGUUAUAUUCCUCUGCCCCUGGAAGCUCCCUGGUGUGAACACCAUUACCUAUUUGUAUAGAGAGGCCAGUCUUGUGUGCUGCA